This 253-nucleotide ribosomal RNA is filed under the name uncultured bacterium. RNAcentral's name for it is "partial 16S ribosomal RNA". It matches the Rfam family "Bacterial small subunit ribosomal RNA", at positions 524 to 776 of the family's 1533-position model. The record is from RNAcentral.
UACAGAGGUGGCAAGCGUUGUUCGGAAUUACUGGGCGUAAAGGGCGCGUAGGCGGCUUGGUCAGUCCCGUGUGAAAUCCCUCGGCUCAACUGAGGAACUGCACGGGAAACUGCCUGGCUUGAGUUCGGGAGAGGGAAGCGGAAUUCCGGGUGUAGCGGUGAAAUGCGUAGAUAUCAGGAGGAACACCAAUAGCGAAGGCAGCUCGCUGGGACGUUACUGACACUGAGGCGCGAAAGCGUGGGGAGCGAACAGG